Molecule: long non-coding RNA, 3139 nt
Organism: Astatotilapia calliptera (eastern happy)
Lineage: Eukaryota; Metazoa; Chordata; Actinopteri; Cichliformes; Cichlidae
Source: Ensembl
GUCUUCAGUUGAGAGUCAUAUGAUGGCAUCAAGUUCAGAAGAUUGUCUGUCUGCUGAUGAGUGUGAAUCCCUCCUUUACUAUGAAAAUCACAAACCCGAGACAGACAUCAAUUUAGAAAACUCAUUAGGUCUGACGUUUAUUCGAAGAAUUUGGUAUAUUAAUUUCUCCCAUCCACGGUAAAAGACAGGUAUCAUUUGUUUUUAUGUAACUUGGUGACCAGCUUUUAUUGACUUUGCUCUCAUUUUAUGAAUGAAUACACUAAAUUGAGGGUUGAAAUUGGAACUUUUAUAGAGCUAAUUUGUGGCAUUCCACUUCCAUAGUGGGUGUUUUUGCUGACAUAUCUUGAUGCUUGACCCAAAACCAGAAAUUUUAAAACUAUAAAUACUAUGGUAGACCCCAAACACUUGGUAAUUGGCCAUAGCUUUCCACUGAACUCAUGCUUUUCCUCAAGAUCAGAGAGAAACCAACGUGAGGUCCUUGUUGUCUGAAGCAGACACUGAGCCCUUAUUAUACAAACUCAGAAACUCUCCAUGAAGUGGAGGAACAUGCAAAAGAGACAGUGGGGUGAAGCAUGCCACCCAGUGAACAGAGAAUCUUUUCAGCCAUGCUUCUCAGUGUUUUUCAUUAGUGUACCAUAUUGCCAACUGUGAUUCAGACAGACGUUCUUCCACACUUACUUAAAAUGUGGAAGACUGAGGCUGUCGUCAUGACAAGCAAGGACCUUACUCUAGACUGGCGCUUCAAAAUAACGAUAAUUGUUUUUGGAAGCAUGACAUGAUUUCCUUCCCCCCUUCUGCACAUUCCACAUUAGAACAUCACCAAACAAAGUGUUACUUAUAAUAAUCUAUUCCUCAAUACUUUCAUUCUCAGCAAGAAGCUCUUUCAGGGUCUAAAUGAACUUUGUUUUUGUUCUAGGGCAAAGUGUUUAUGAGCUGCCUUUAUAUCUUGAAGUGCAAUAAAUAUCAUUAAACUUGAGAAUGAAUAAAAUUCAGCAUGUUUCAAACUAUAACAGUUCAUGAAAAGUGCUGCUGGUGAAUUAAAUAAGUUUUUCAUGUUGCAUGUUGUGUGGCUAAGGUAUUUGUACCUUGCACAAGAAUCUUGUUGUUGAUUUAGUUGUGUGAUUUUCAGCCAAUAACUGAAGUUGUGUUGUGCAACUCUUUGACUCUCUGAGUCACUGUUGUUUUUUUUUUCAUUCUUUGUAGCAUGAAUCUGCUGACUUUACAAUAAUCUUUUUGGCUUCAGUUUGCAAUCUUGUUAGUAGGACAAAAAAACUCCAUUGUCAUUUCUUAAUUAACAAAACAUGAUUUCUUAAGCAUGAGAAUUCAGAAGAAACACAACUUGUGUUUACAAGUCAGGUUUUUAUUAAGCUGUGUAAAAGUAUGAGUAGCAAUACAAAUAAAUGUAGACUAUAACGCCAUAUGGAUAUGGAAAUAGACACAUGAAUUGAGUUUUUGGCUACUUUAACUGAACUAAGUAAUAGGCAUGGAGUUUACUCAGUGAUUAAAUCUAUUGUUUAUCUGCAGUAUGGGGUUUUGCAGACCCAUGGGAGAAACCCUUCGAGCUGAACUAAUCCCAAAAUGAAUAAGGUGCACUAUGGACCUUGGAGAAACCAGAAGAGGCUGACAAGCCUGUGGGCUGUGUGUGAACGAACAGUUCAGAUGUCCAGUUGGAAACAAACAUGUCCCAGCAGCAGAUACAGCUUCCACCCCGUAAGAAAGAUGAUGAUUGAAUCCAGGUGUAGGAAGAGAUAAGUCCUAUAAAAUGCAAUAGUUUGUGAGGUCAGCUGAAGGGGCCAAACAGAUGUAGAGCAACUAAAGGAAAUGUUAGACCAAAGACAUCAGAAAAAAGAGAAGCAAGAUUAUCUAGUGAUGGGUUUAAUCAUUUCAGGGUACGGUUUGAAAAAGAAAAAAGAGAAGGGAAAAUAUUAGUGGUCUUUGGCCUCAUAGCCCAUCACUUACAGAAUCUUGAGCUUUGAAAGUGGUUGCACGUGGAAGAAUGCAGAUUUUCUUCAGGGAAUGCUUUGACAGGAGAAUUGGCUUAUUCAUGAGAAGAAGUUAUCAGGAGAGCUUGAAGGACAAGGUAACAAUAAUAGCCUGAGUAAACCAUUAUGUAAGGCUUUGCAUGGAAAAAUAAGCUGUGCUCUCCAAACAGCCACUUUGUCUUUAGGGAACUUCAAAGGAGAUUAAAGAACCUCUGCAAUGUUUGGUUUAAUCGCUCAAGAAAAAGUUUCCAGAUACUUUAAAAUCAAAUAAAGACAGUUUGAGCCUGAAACCAACAGAUAAAAGAAGAUGAAAAUAUUCCUUUUUUAAUUAAAAGAAACUGUUUAUCUUGACUCGUUGGCAGUAGUAGUGGCAAACCUUUUACUUUAUUUAGUGUCAGAAUCAUGAAUAUGAUUUAUGUAUUUGUGUUUUAAACUUCUAAAUAAAUUGUUUGACAUUUGGAGUUAGCUGGGUACUGGCUGUAUUUUUUUAAUGAACCCACUGAUGUAAGGGUAUCAUCACUAUUCUCAUCUCCAAACUCUGGCAAGGAGGAGAAUGAGCGUUUUUCCCAAAACGGGGAACUAAUGUCUAAAGCAUACUAUUGGUAUAGUUACAGCUUUGCAGAAUUCUUGAAUGGUAGAAAAUUGGAUAUUUUCAAGUGUAUUUCAAUCCAUCUGGCAAAAUUUGAGGUUUUUUGUGGCAACUGAUAUUCGAAAAAAAAAAAAAAGAAUCUAAGGAGUGGAUUUCUAUUCAAAAUACUUGACCUGAGUUUGCCUCUGUUCUGCAGAAAAGCACAAGUCUCUGAAUCCACCAGAAACCAUCCACAAUUUAUCAGAAACUUAAGCGUAAACAGACAUAUCCAUUUUCUCUUCUGUAUAGUCCAGCAGGGUCUCAGGGAGAUCAUAAUUUAUUCACAAGACGGUCAGCCUUACACCUUUCCACCGCUUUCUGGAGGACAUGGAGAGAGUUGCAUACUUGCCACUGCACCCCAGGAAGAAAUCCUGAGUAGUAAAAGAAUUACAUAAAUCAGCUCUUGAUAAUAGUCUGUAAUGCUAACUAUUGCAUGGAGAUGCUGAAUGCUUUGUUUCUCUCUGAAUUAGGUCUUUAUGUGUAAAUUGUGUAUUGUAUUAAAUUUGGUAUAAAUGUACGAACGAACAAG